Molecule: RNA transcript, 520 nt
Organism: Salvia miltiorrhiza (redroot sage)
Lineage: Eukaryota; Viridiplantae; Streptophyta; Magnoliopsida; Lamiales; Lamiaceae
Gene name: mediator of RNA polymerase II transcription subunit 31-like
Exons: 3
Source: RefSeq, a predicted model, not a curated record
GCCCAAUUACCACACACGCAAAAUAGAAAAAUUAAAACAGAACAAAAAAGAGAAAGGCAAAAAAUGAAGACGACGAGGCUGUAUAAGCCCUAACAGAUCGACUAGAAGUUCAGCCAUGGCGUCCGAUCCUAUGGAAUUAGUAACAAAUCCUCCGUCGCCGCCCAAAACCGUGUACAAGGAUCCAGAUGAUGGCCGCCAGCGCUUCUUGCUUGAGCUCGAAUUUGUCCAGUGCCUUGCUAAUCCGACCUAUAUACAUUUUGGUUGUCGAAUGGCACCGAUGAAGAUUGAAGACUGGCUUUUGGGACAAUAAAUUCUUUAGUGAUGGGGUUAACGUAAUUAUCGAUGUAAUUUACUUUCACAAAACUGUUCCCACCUAUCUCUUACUAUUUCUAGUCAAAUUGUUAGUUGUUUCACUAUCUUCACACUUUCUUGCUUUGAGUUUAUAAUGUCUUCCAACUAAUAGAAUGUUGCUGCAGUUGUUUAAACAUUUUUAGAGAGAAUAACUGACUGAUUAAUCUAA